UCACUCGCUCCAGUAUUUCUUCCAGGAGGACCUUGACCUGGCCCGUAACAGGAAACACAGGGUGAAGAAGGGGCUCUAACUCUCCAGGACUCCAUUCCCCUGCGAUACGGCGGUCAGGACGCCCGUCAGCGAUCCCCCGCCAUACUCUCGCAUUGUCUACUCCCUUCAGAGUCUCCAUGAGGCCGCCCUGCAGUUUCUGUCCUUGGGUCCUGGAAGAAGCAUCCCCAUCCAACACGUGAACCUCCUCCCCAGCCCCACGCUUCCUUUGGCCACACAAGCCAUCAGCUAAUUAGACCACGGGAGCCAGAACCACCAGGGUGUCUCUCCCGGAAAGUUGGAAAUGAAGCACUCAGAUCCUGGGUUGUUUGGGGGCAAGCGCUUGGAGGCUGAGUCUGCCAUUUUGAAGUAAAUGAAUAAGCCCAGGAGGUCUGUCAGCAGAGAAAGAAAAACGGAACAAGUACAGUCAUAAUAGAACAUGUAGCCAGCGGAGAGGGAGGGAGGGGGCCAGAGAGCCGGGCUCCUGGCACACUGUUCUGCCCAUUGUCCCCCCUCUUCUGUAACAGGUCCCCGUCUCCACCUGGGAAAUCCCCUCCUCCCCACUGUUUUGGGGUACAGUCACAGAGCCCGAUCCUCCCAUGAUCUACGUAGGCCAACCAGAUUAUCACUCCCAGGAGCACAAAAAUCUCUGGCCCAAGAUUCAGGGGCAGAAAGACCCCAGAGCCACUGGGAUAUCUGUCCUUCCUUCGGUCAGUUCCUUUUGACAGAGUGGGCUAUUUCUUGCCCAUUUCAGCAAAAGUAGUCUCUGUUGCUUACAACCAAAGAGCCUCGGCUGAGUUAAUACCGUUCCGUUAUGCAUUACCCACGCGAGUGCAAGCAAGCCAUCUAGGUCUCCAUCUUUUUAUCUAUAAAAAUUUCCAAGAGUGUCUUUCUCCACCUCCCCCCCCCCCCCGCCCCCACCAACUCCCAGGGGCUGAUGCAGACAUCAAAUUGAGUGAACUGAUGCAUGUGGCAGCAUCUGAAAGCUAUACAGACCUACAGAAAGGGUUAUUAAUAUUCACUCUGCCUUGUAUUGUUAGCACACAAUACAUUCUCUAGGAAAAGAGCUGAUGUCUGAAAAGGGAAAGUAAAACCUUAUCUCCCUGUCACAAAGGGGUCUCUGGUGCUGUCACAGCAAAAACCAGAAUGGAAUUUUACCGGUGCCUGAGAGCUGUUGCCAGGGGUAGAAGACAAAUGGCUAAAAUUAUAUCCUAUUUCUAUCGCCGGGGCUGAACUUGGAGAAACAGCCCUAUAUCGGACAUCACGCACAAAGAGAUGAAAAGAUAGGCUGCAGGCGCUGUCCCCAAAAUACACCGGACACCGAGAAAGAGACUUCUCCCGUGUCCUGAUCCGUCCGAGCAGGAUCUGGAGGCCAGGCCUGAGGACGAGCAGGAUUGCUGGGAAGGGAGCAGGUGCACAGACACGGAGAAGCCUGCGGGCCCCUCCGUGGGAGGAGAGGGUUGCAAGGGAUGUGGUCUGAUUGUUUGCACAAGCGAACGUCUCUGCCUUUUUGUUGUCCUUUUUGAGCAAUCUGUUUCCCAUAAAAAUCUAAGCGUUACAGGUAUUCAUUACAAACAAAACCCUCUCACAAUUCUUCCCUCGGCGGGGGGUGGGGGGGGAUCACUGUUAACUGUUACUUUAUGAUUCCUGCAGAUGUCCUUGAUGCAUAUAACCAUCCAUCCAUUAUCCCCCCACGCAUCAGUUUUGUCUGUCUGUCCUGUCUUCACUCCUCGCUCCCUCCUUUCUUUCCAUCUAUCACCAAGGGAGUCCUGUCAUACUUGCUUUUCGUCUUAUAAUAAAUCCUGCACA
Molecule: long non-coding RNA, 1845 nt
Organism: Acinonyx jubatus (cheetah)
Lineage: Eukaryota; Metazoa; Chordata; Mammalia; Carnivora; Felidae
Exons: 2
Source: RefSeq, a predicted model, not a curated record